Molecule: transfer RNA, 67 nt
Filed under: Panesthia angustipennis angustipennis
Lineage: Eukaryota; Metazoa; Arthropoda; Insecta; Blattodea; Blaberidae
Description: tRNA-Tyr
Source: RNAcentral
AGUAGAAUGACUGAGUAAUAGGUGAAAGAUUGUAAAUCUUUUAAGGGGUUAAAUAACUCUUCUACUA